Molecule: non-coding RNA, 351 nt
Organism: Pelodiscus sinensis (Chinese soft-shelled turtle)
Lineage: Eukaryota; Metazoa; Chordata; Testudines; Trionychidae
Source: RefSeq, a predicted model, not a curated record
UGACCCCCUCCCCCACCCUAGGACGGGCGCCUGCUCCAGGAAUUCAACAAGAUCGAGCCGCCGCUCAUCUUUGAGUGCAACCAGGCCUGCACCUGCUGGAGGAGCUGCAAGAACCGGGUGGUGCAGAGCGGCAUCAAGGUCCGUCUGCAGCUGUACCGGACGGCCAAGAUGGGCUGGGGGGUGCGAGCCCUUCAAGCCAUCCCCCAAGGGACCUUCAUCUGCGAGUACGUGGGAGAGCUGAUUUCGGACGCAGAGGCCGACGUGCGGGAAGACGACUCGUACCUCUUUGACCUGGACAACAAGGUGCGGGGGCAGGGACGCCUGGGAGUGAGAGGGGGGCAGGGAUAAGUG